UGGUUGUGAUGAUGAUGAUGAUGAUGAUUAAUAUUAUUAUUAUUGAUAAUCACCAUCACAAACAUCCUCAUGAUCAUCAUCAUCAUCAUCAUCAUCA
This 97-nucleotide microRNA precursor is filed under the name Bigelowiella natans CCMP2755. Its description in RNAcentral is "miRNA EPrBNAG00000013626". Lineage: Eukaryota; Cercozoa; Chlorarachniophyceae. The record is from RNAcentral.